GGAGAGUAUGACGACUUGGUAGCGUCCGCGGACUUCAAAUCCGAUGAAAGUGCGAUUGAUCGUGCUUUGGGGGGUUCGAUUCCCUCACUCUCUCGCCA
Molecule: transfer RNA, 98 nt
Filed under: Campylobacter sp.
Lineage: Bacteria; Pseudomonadati; Campylobacterota; Epsilonproteobacteria; Campylobacterales; Campylobacteraceae
Description: tRNA-Sec
Rfam family: Selenocysteine transfer RNA
Source: RNAcentral